UUCCAUAGCUACUGGUGUACACUUGUUCUUAUAUUGACAGUUUCAGCAUUCCUCUGUGGGAAAGAAACUGUUAACAUGAUUAAACAUCUCUUUCCUAGCAAAACGGAAAGUGGGCAUAUAUGUGACAAACACAA
Small nucleolar RNA from Phyllostomus discolor (pale spear-nosed bat), 134 nucleotides. RefSeq annotates it as small nucleolar RNA SNORA41. The record is from RefSeq and is a predicted model, not a curated record. The transcript has a single exon. Lineage: Eukaryota; Metazoa; Chordata; Mammalia; Chiroptera; Phyllostomidae.